Non-coding RNA from Zootoca vivipara (common lizard), 10788 nucleotides. NCBI's taxonomy places the organism in Eukaryota, Metazoa, Chordata, Lepidosauria, Squamata, Lacertidae. The record is from RefSeq and is a predicted model, not a curated record.
UGGUAGAGAUCCUUGUAGAAUUUGACAAGAACACUCAGGUUUUGGGAAUCUAAAGUUCUGAUGAUUUGCAUGUCAAUAUUUUGUCGGUAUUUGAGGUAGGUUAAUGAAAGGACUUGUUUAAGAAGGGUGUAGUCAAAAAUUGGCGGUGGGGGGUGGUGGAAUGAGUAAUAAGUAGCAGGCAGGAGUGGCUGCCCGCACCUUGCCAUUAUGUCAAGGUUUCAGUAUGUAGUAGCUACAUGCUUGCUAAGUUGCACCUAGUUUGCCUUGCAGCCAUUUGGCAAGCCUGCCGCAGUGUUAUGAAAUAUGUCCACAGUAAAGAAACAAUCAGCUCACAUGAAAAGAUAUCACUGAUUAACCUAAUUAUGCAUGUACUUCCUGAAAGAAGCCAGUGUUUACCGUACUGUUUUGGGAUUAAGACAGGUGUGGCUAUUUACAAAGAAGAGAUUAGCAAUAAUAGGGCUGGAAACAAUAGCUUGUAAUGAGAACAAAAGGAAGAAGUGGUUAUAAAUACCAAAAAGAACAAAAAAGUUGUCUAAGCACAAAAGAGGUUCAUGUCAGGGAACUGGUGACGGAUUAAUUUGUGGCAGUUCGCUGGCUUUUCAAUGGCUUGUCGAACAGUACCUUUUUCUGGGAGCUAUGAAGGAAGCAUGACAUGUGAGUCAACCUUCAUACACUGUUUGAUUGGCUCAUUCACCAUGCUCCUAUUUCUGGAGAAGGCAUUCCCUCCCUCCCCCUUCCACACAUAGGUGCUGGCAUGUAUGCAACGGGACGCUGGUUGUAUAUAUGGAUAUAUAUAUACACAUAGACAAAAUGUUUUAUUAAAUUUUCUGUUUUACAAUUUAAAAUGCACAAUUUAACAUCCUUAAAAUAUCAAUGACUUCCCUUCUCUUUCUGUGGUUCAUUUUGCAUAUCAUAAAUCCCUGCAUAUUUUACAAAAACUAAGCCAUUCAGUAUUCCAUUAUUGCAUCCACCAAAACUUAUUUACACUGUAGAAUUUAUCUUAAGGCUGCCAACAUUUUUAGGUGUACACAAUUUUCCUCCCAUAUGUUCAAUAAAUGUUUUCCAGUCUUUCUCUAAACGUAUGUUCUUCUUGUUCUCUUAUUCUAUAUGCUAAAUCUACAAUCUGCGCAUAUUCUGUCAGGUUAAGUUGCCAUUCUUCUUUGGUUGGAACCUCACUCAUUUUUGGACUAACAAAACAUGGGCUGCAGUAGUAGCAUACACAAAUAACCUUUUUUGACACCUGGGAAUUUCAGUCUGGGGCAUGGGAGGAAUCAAGGGGCACUUGCCAUUACCAGAUCUCUUCCCCCCUAGUGGAGGCCCCUGCAGCCUGCCGGGCAUAAUAAUAAUAAUAAUAAUAAUAAUAAUAAUAAUAAUAAUAAUAAUACAUUUUUAUUUAUACCCUGCCCUCCCCGGCCAGGGCCGGGCUCAGGGUGGCUAACACCAAAUAUAAAUUACAAUAAAAUGUAAUAGAAAAAAACAACAGUUAAUUAAAAUACGGCUUUAAAAUGCAGCCUCAUUUUAGUAGUAGCCCAUAAAUCGAGACCAUAAAGGGAGGAAACAUCAGAUAUUCACCCAAGCCAGCUAUUCACACUGGUCCUACAUGGGCCAGCAAAAAAGCCAAGGGAAAUUUUAUAUACCAAAUCCCAUAUAAGGGGUCAGAGUGGGUUUAAGCCGAAGGCCAAGCAGAACAGCUCCAUCUUGCAGGCCCUGUGGAAAGAUGUCAAAUCCCGCAGGGCCCUAGUCUCUUGUGACAGAACGUUCCACCACAUUGGGGCCAGUGCUGAAAAGGCCCUGGCCCUAGUUGAAACCAAUCUAACCUCCUUGUGUUGCUAUUUAUGGACCUUAAGGUCCUCCGCGGGGCAUACCAGGAGAGGCAGUCCCGUAGGUAUGAGGGUCCUAGGCCGCAUAGGGCUUUAAAGGUCAAAACCAGCACCUUAAACCUGACCCUUUACUCCACCGGGAGCCAGUGCAGAUGGUAAAGCACUGGAUGAAUGUGAUCCCGCAGCAAGGACCCCGUAAGGAGCCACGCCGCGGCAUUCUGCAACAGCUGGAGUUUCUGGGUCAGCUUCAAGGGCAGCCCCGCAUAGAGCGAGUUAACAAUAAUCAAGCCCGGAGGUGACAGUUGCAUGGAUCACUGUGGCCAGAUCAGGGCGAGAAAGGUAAGGGACCAAUUGCUUAAUAUGGCGGAGAUGGAAAAAUGCCACCUUUGCUGUGGCUGCAACCUGCGCUUCCAUAGAAAGGGGGGCAUCAAAGGUUACAUCCAAACUCUUGACAGAAGGUGCUGGCACUAAUUGAGCCCCCGCAAGAGAUGGGAGUUGGCCCCCCAACCCCAUGCCAUCCCGACCCAGCCAGAGGACCUCUGUUUUUGAAGGAUUUAACUUUAAGCGGCUCCCACGCAGCCAUCCAGCCACAGCUUCCAAGCAUCUGGUCAGUGUGUUUGGGGCCGAGUCUGGGUGGCCGUCAAUCAAUAGAUAAAGCUGGGUGUCAUCAGCAUAUUGAUGACAAUCCAGCCCAAAACAUGUGGAAUGCUCUCCCUAGGAAGGCUCGCUUGGCAUCCACUAUUGUUUUAUCAUGGGCUGGGUUGUAUCCUAUGGCGGUUUUAACUUGCAGAAAGAGCUUCUACUUGGGGCAAGUCAGGGCACCUGAUUUUUGCCGCCCCUCCCUAUAUCCUGCAGCCCUCCAGAACGUAUCACAUUCUGUUCUGGGUGGAGACAACUAUAACCUAUGGUAUCAGAGCAGCUUAGGUGCCUAUGGCAGAUUGGCAGAAAUAUGGGUGCACCAAAUGCUUUCUGCUAAGGAAAAACCACCCCUUGGGUGCAGUCCUGGGUAUUUUACUAGUAGUAGUAGUAGUUGUGUUGUUAACUCUCCCAGCACACAGCUCACCAGCGGCAGCUGCAGCUUCCUCUCAUCUCCUCACCCAUAACUAGCCUCACCUUCCGCUACACAACUAUGAAUUUAACAAUUUGAUGGCAUGAGGGGAAAAACUGUUCCUGUGCCUAGCUGUUUUUGUGUAUAGAGUCCUGUAGCGACAUCCAGAUGGAAGUAAAUCAAACAGAUGAUGACCGGGAUGCAAGGGAUCUGCGACAAUUCGCUCUGUUCUCUUCCUAGCUCGGAUAGUAUAAAGCAGGCAUCCCCAAACUGCGGCCCUCCAGAUGUUUUGGCCUACAACUCCCAUGAUCCCUAGCUAACAGGACCAGUGGUCGGGGAAGAUGGGGAUUGUAGUCCAAAACAUCUGGAGGGCCGAAGUUUGGGGAUGCCUGGUAUAAAGUGUCUCUGUUGAAGGCAAACUAGCACCAAUUACCCUUUCUGCAAUUCUUACUGCUCGUUGGAGCCCUUUCUUGUCCAUCUUGGAGGCUGUGCCAUACCAGGCAGUAAUAGAAUUACAGAGAACAGUUUCAAUGAUACUUCUAUAAAAUUGGAUCAACAUUACCUGGGGCAAAUUAAAUUUUCUUAGUUGACGCAAGAAAUACAACCUCUGGUGGGGCUUUUUAAUAAUACUAUUGAUGUUGCUUGACCAAUUUAAGUUUUGAGAAAUUAUAGAGCCCAGGAACUUAAGGACUCUACUACUACAACCAUGUUACCAUGGAUGGAAAGUGGUGGCAAGAUGGAAGAGUGCUUUCUGAAAUCAAUUACAGUAAUACCUCGGGUUACGAACGCGAUCCGUUCCGGGUCGCAGUUCGUAACCCGAAUAGUUCGUAAACCGAACGCGACCCGAAGCGCCAUUUUGCGCAUGUGCAGACCGCGCGCGCCGCUUCUGCGCACGCGCGCGGGGCGAAAACACUUCCGGGGUUGCGCAGUUCGUAACCCGAACUGUUCGCAAACCGAGGUGUUUGUAACCCGAGGUACGACUGUACCAUUUCCAAUGUCUUUGGGGCAUUUAGCACCAAAUUAUUCCUGCACCACGAAACAAGAUGAUCUGUUUCCCGCCUAUAUGCAGAUUCAUUGUUCUCCCAGGUAAGCCCAGUAACUGUUGUAUCAUCUGCAUAUUUCAAGAUCUUAACCGAUGGAUCAGUUGAGGUGCAGUCAUUUGUGUAUAGAGAGAAAAGCAGUGGGGAAAGCACACACCCCUGGGGAGCACCUGUACUGAUGGUAUUGUUGCUCAAUAUAAUUUCCCCCAACUUCAUCUGCUGCCUCCUGUCCGUUAAAAAGCUGUAUGUCCAUUGGCAAACAGGAGCAGGUACAUUAAGAUGAAGUAAUUUAGAAAACAAUUUAGAUGGAACAAUAGUAUUAAAAGCAGAGCUAAAGUCUAUAAAUAAAACUCGCACAUAGGCCCGCAGGGAAUCCAGAUGUUGCAGGAUGUAGUGCAAUGCCAUGUUGACCGUAUCAUCUACUGACCUAUUAGCUUGAUAAGCAAAUUGCAAAGGAUCCAGCAAAGGGUCAAUAGCGUCUUUCAAAUAGGCCAACACUAGUCUCUCAAAGACUUUCAUUACCACAGAUGUUAAAGCAACUGGUCUAUAAUCGUUCAUCACACUGAUGGAAGAUUUCUUAGGUACUUAAAUCAAUAUAACCGGUUUGAAAUCCAUAUGGUGACAUUGGUUUCUUAAUUUCGGACCUAGCACUAUAUCAUGAAUCACGGUAUGUGUGUGUGUGUGCUCUGCAAAAACCACAAUGUGGGGGAAACUGAAGCCAGGCAAUGCCUCUCAUAGCCCCAACCUUAUUUCAGACAUCGCGAUAUAUCAAUACUGUAUAGCGUGAUAUAUAGCUGGUGGUAUAUUGUGAUGCUGUAGCAAGCAGGCACACUGGGCAGCAGGAAGGACAUGGGUUAUCCGCAGCUGCCCAACAAUGCCAGCCAACGUCUCCAGCCCUGCUGGUGACCCUGGUAACUCUAGCAUUAGAAAAGUUGGAUCAACCUUGUGUAUUCUUCUGUUUCCCCUUAAAUAUGGAAGGGGAGUUCUUUCAGGCGUUGGCACCUCCUUACAGAGUGUUGCCUGUGUUUCUCGCUCCUUAACUGAGAGCGGCAUCUCCAAGAAUUGCCCUUCCCCUUGCAGAGCGUACAACCCCACUUUUCCCUCUGAAGGCACAGAAAACCACCUCACUUUCAGGCGCCUCCUCCCCAGAAGGGGCUGGCGUGGGUGGUGUGGUUCUUGCUGUCGCUAAACUGAGCAUCCAACCCGGGGCGGCCCAAGUGGAAGAAAGGAGACAGUGACUGUGUUGCACACGCUCUGCCUUGGACCUUGUAUCCCAAGGAGCUGCUUUCUCGAGGAGCUGUUUGUUUUGGCUUGCUUUCUGUGGUGCUGCCACCUGACAAGUCACUUUCCGAGGAAAGGAAAGGAAAGGCAGUUGAACUCCGUAUUGUUAUUGAACCUGCUUCCCCAAUUCAAACACAAACGGAUAAGAAAGAUUAACAUUGCCGUCCUAGGAAUGCUUGCCCUUAAAUAAGUCCUGCGGAGUUCAGCGUGGCAUAUUCCCAAGAAAUAGCGCAUAGGAUUUCAGCUUCUCUGCAAGCAUUUCCAGCUGAACUGACCUCUGAGUACAUCCAGUUGCCUAGAGCAGGCAUGGCCAACAGGUAGAUCGCGAUCUACCGGUAGAUCCCCAGGACGUUUCUGGUAGAUCCCGGGUAGAUUGUGGGUUCCUUAGUGAUCGCCAGCCUAAAAGAAAAGAAAGAGCUCUCCCCCUAAAAAACCCCUCAAGAACUCUUGUCUCUCCCCCACAAAAAAGCUCAAUAACCAUGGGCAAUUGCAGGGAGAGCUCCUUCCCUCUUUCCGAUACAGAGCUUACCAGUAUAUGUGUGACUGUGUUAGUGCGUUGCACAGAAUGGCUGGAUUGCUCCCUGUCCCUUUUGCCUGCCUAGAGCUCUCCGGCUCCUCCUCCUGGCUCCUCCUUGCUUUUAUGCAACUCUCUCCCAAGAAAUCUCUGAAAGUUUCUGUUGUCCCCCGUAAAAAAGUAUUUGGGCAGUGCUCCCCCCCAAAAGGUUACCAAAUUUGGUCACCCCCUUUCUUUCUCCCUAAAAAAGCUCAACAACUUAGAGCCGAACCCCCCAAAAUGGGGGUAGAUCACCGCCAGAUUUUAAUUCUGAAAGUAGAUCACAUUCUCUUGGAAGUUGGCCACCCCUGGCCUAGAGCAAUAAUAAACAGCUACCCCUGUAAAUGUAAAUAAGUCUAGUAUGGUUCUCCUCUUUAAAAAGUUGUGAAUCUGAAUACCAAAGUGUCACAGAGGGGGCAUGUGGAGUGAUGGAAAUUUGACUCACCUCACUCUAGCUUGAAGCUGGGUUUGGAACAGAACUGGCUUGAUUACCCUGAUGGACGACCUGUAUUUUCCAUUUCCCCUAAAGUCAAAAAAAGGCAUAGGAGUCUGUUGGGACACAUCUUUUUAUUUUCUUCUAAGCUAAUCUUGUCUCUAAUAGAGAAGAAGAAUAAAAAGCUCCGCAAGUUUCCUGGUGGUUUUUGUCCUGCUUGUCAAGGGGCUCUGCAGCCCAAGAGAUUUUAGAAAAGUAGUCAUCUUUUUUUUAAUCUGCUUUAUAAGCUCACUUUCUUUUUGAAUGUUCCCUGUAUACAUUAAGCCUUUAAACAUACAGGCAUAUUGAGGCAUACGAGAAAAUCUGUGCUGAGCAGAAAACUUUAUUCCAGUUUCACAGUGCUGCAUGGCAAGAUGCCCUUUGUCUGUAGUGCAAAUAGGUAUCUUUGGACAUGUGAAUGCUUGUUGGGCAUGGUUGGCUGUUUCAUUUUUGUAUCUGACAAAACAUCUCGUGCAAGAUUUACAGCCUGGUAAGUUGUUACAACAGCUCUGAAAACAGGUGUGUGAAGCACACAAUGCAAACUGCUUGGUUGUUUUUUUGGCUAAGACCAAUGGCUCUCUACCAUGGGCAUAUAUAAUACCUUCCUCUUGACACAACAACAGCUUUUCACAAUGCCUUUUAACAUCCAAGACAACGUUCAACCCAGACACUGAGGUCUAGCUCUGAUGGCCUUAUGGCGGUUCCCUCACUGUGAGGAGUGAGGUUACAGGGAGCCAGGCAGAGAGAGGGCCUUCUUGGUAGUGGCACUCUCUCUGUGGAAUGCCCACCAAUUAGGAGAUAAAAAAACUUUUAGAAGGCAUCUGACGGCAGCCCUGUAUCAUUUGACGUUUUAUUGUGUUUGUAUAUGUGCUGGAAGCUGCCCAGAGUGGCUGGGGCAAUCCAGCCAUAUGGGGCAUAAAUAAUAAAAUUACCAUAUUUUCCGGCGAAUAAAACAACUGGGUGUAUAAGAUGACCCCCAACUUUUCCAGUUAAAAUGUAGAGUUUGGGAUAUACUCGCUGUAUAAAUAAGACGACCCGGCAUUUGAGACGACCCCCGACUUUUGAGAAGCUUUUCCUGGGUUAAAAAGUAGCCUUAUACGCAGGAAAAUACAGUAUUAUUAUCAUAACACGCAAAAUGCUAUAAUUUUGUCUUCAGGCCAAUGGACUUUUCCUACAACAAGCAGGUUGCUUUGUACUUGACUUAUUAUUAUUAUUAUUAGAAUUUAUAUACUGCCCUAUACCCGUGGGUCUUAGGGCGGUUCACAGAAUAUAAUCAAGAUCUAAAACUACAAAAUACAUAUUAAAAAUAAAAACAACAAUCCAAUAGCUCCCCCCCCCCAUUUUUUAAAAAUAUAUAAAAAGGGCAUAGGAUGUAAAUCAGAUCAACCAAAGUCCUGGUUAAAAAGGAACAUUUUUGCCUGGUGCCUAAAGGUGUAUAAUGAGGGCGCCAGGCAAACUUCCCUGGGUAGAGCAUUCCACAGAUGGGGAGCCACUGCAGAGAAGGCCCAUUCUCGUUUUGCCACCCUCCAGACCUCUUGAGGAAGAGGCACACGAAGAAGGGCCUCAGAUGAUGAUCUCAGGGUCCGGGUAGGUCCAUAUGGAAAGAGGCCGUCCUUGAGGUAUUGCAGUCCUGCGCCAUUUAAGGCUUUAUAGGUUAAAACCAGCACUUUGAAUUGAGCCUGGAAACUAACUUUUAACCAAUAUUGCUACCAAUUUUGUCCAGGGCACAGACUUCAGACAGCCUGCCAAUCACUGUCACCUUUGUUUCAGGCUCCUGUUCCCUUCUGUGCCUCAAGAGGGCUCCAAAUGGACACAGCAUGCAUGGUUUGCUAAUCUGAGGUCAAGAAGUUCUCAGUUCGAGGUCCCUGAGCCCUUGGCAGCAAGGGGAAAGUUGCAUACUGCCAUGCAAACGGCUCAUUCAGGCUUGUUUUAAUCUUGCCCUUCAUAUCCACUCCUUCUCAAAUAUUUUCAAAUGCACGAGAGCUGACGCAGCCAGUCUUCCAUUUGUUUAUCACUCCUCCCCAUAUUUCCCCCUAUUGCUGGCAGCUGAUUUUUAGUUGAUGUAUUUUCAGUCAAAUUGUGAAGGGUUUCUGGUUUAUUUAUGUCUAGAGAAGCCCAGCUUUGUCCGAAGGAUAACUCUUAUUGAAUAUGAUAAAGAUCUUUUGUCACUUGUUUUGUUUGCAGGUGUCUUUUUAUAAGACAUCCUCUAAUCCCUUCAGGAAGAAAUAUUUUCUCCUUCUUAAAAAAAGAGAGAGAGAAGAGAAGAGAAAGAAAUCAGUAUUAACUAAGUAUAAAAGCUCUGAGCCUCUACCAUUGUUGUUGAUUCUUUGAGGGACAUUUCCCAACAGUCAUUGUUCAAAUGGUUGUCAGGAGGAAUCAAGUGAAACUCAAUAAACAAUGCCGUAACUGGUUCCUCUCACUUUGUGUGCAGAAGCUUUUCUUGAGAGGAUUUGCAUUGAAGAAGUGGUCCAUUUUCGAGUUAUCAUAGGGUCAUUUAGAAGCAUUCCAGCCUCUUCUUUUUUUGCUUUACUAGCAGUUGCAUAUUUCAGUUCUGCACAAAUAAGCUUGACCUAUCUAGGCCUUGGAAGACUUUGAGGCGAGCACUGGAGGAAGAAAAACAAACCUGCAAAUACCUCAGGGAUGCUGUUGCUCUUUCCAGAGUUAGGGUAUAGAUUUUAAGAGAAAAUUUUAAAGCUUCCUGCUUGCAUUGUUGUGCUGCAUGCAUCCAUAAUAAUUGAUUUAAUAGACUGGAUAGCUUUCCUGGAAUGCAACCCCCCAAAAUUCCCCCAUUGAGUUCACUGAGGCUUACUUUUGGUUAGUUGGUACUACAUUGCACAAAUUAUUGUAUUCAGUGGGACUUCUAAUUGGGCUUCUCUGGAGAUUUUUCAUAAAGCACUUGCUGCCAAAAUGCUAAUGUAUAGGAUUUGUGUCUGUUUCUAAGUAUUGUGUGUUUUAUAUUUGCAAAGACCCUUACUUCAGAACGCCUAGAUGUGACCUGCAAUUUCGUGUAUGUUUUCUUGGAAGGAAAUCCCACUAUUUUCAGUAAGCAUAUUUAGGCUUGCAGCCUUAAACUUGAAGAGAACUGUGUAGAUGGUCCCUUGACAGCUUUUGACCCUAGCUAGCCACUUUGAAAAAUAUUGGCUGUUGAAUUAUGCCAAAUAUUUUAACUCAAGUUCUUCACAGUUCCUUUAGUUUAGCCUCUCUCUCUCUCUCUCUCUCUCUCUCUCUCUCUCUCUCUCUCUCUCUCUCGGUAUUAUAUAUUGAUUUUUAAAGAAUAAUUUUAUAGGUUUUUUUAUUGUAACAAAUUAUCCAAUCAAUAAGAUUGCAGGGUAUCUUGUCAUCCAGCUUCUAGACCAGAGGAAUGUAGAAAGUUGAAAAUAUUUUGUCCAUCAACUUUAAUUUCUUUUUCCUUUUUCUUCUCCUCAAUGUCGAGUUUGGGUUUUUAUUUUAUUUUAAAGCCCACCUCAAGACUUUGCUUUGUUUCUGGAGAAACAUUGUGUGCUCUCUGCAGCUGCCCUUGGAGAGGGGGGGUGGGGGUGGGGAAAGGCCAGUGAUUUAUUGAAGCAAGCUGAAUUGAAAACCCUCUCUUUUUUUCCCUCCCCAAAAUCAACAGCUUGACUGAGUUUAAAUAACUGACUUUUCAUAUCCUUUCAUCACACACAAAGACCUAAUCCUGAGACUACUUGAGCCACCAAUGUCGGCUGUGGACAAGACCACCACUGGAAAUGUCACUCCCUUCUCACCACACACAAAAACACAUUGACUGCAGCUUUAUGAAGUGAAAAUGCCAAAGAAAAGGAAAAUGCGAACGAGGUGGCCACAGUCAUUUUUUUCCCCGAAGGGGGGGGGGGAGAGGGAGAAAAACUGCUGCAUCUGGAUAUUAAGGACAAAAAGUGCCUAAGACGACAAUAAUAGCUUGGGUCACUAACUUUCAUAAGUGCAAAUGAGUGGAACUGCCUCUGUUUGUUUCAAUACCACUGACCCUUAUAUUUUAUUGUGUGGAAAUGUCAGGGAAAGUGUGUUGGAAGGCAUUCCGGCCUCUUUUAGCUUAACAAUCCCGGUCGUCAUUUUGAGAUUCCCAAGUGCUUCUCCACCCCAACCGCCUGCCCUCUUUCAUGGGCAAAGUAGAUUUAGACAAUUUUUGCGUCCUUGAUUAUGAUUACAUUCACAUUCCUCUCUUUUUUUAUAUAGUUUAUAAGCUAAAUGCAUUACUUGAUGCUUGUGUGUGGAUUUGCUUAAUCCGUAAGGACAGAAGGCCCCUAUUGAUUUAUUGCCUCUCAUUGGCCUCCGCCAUUAUUAUUAUUUUUUACUGUGAAAUGAGCAGGCAGGGAGAAGGAAAAAUGCCAUUCUUGUUAUUUAAACAACUCCUUUUUGGAGUUCAGGGCAUUUGGGGACAGACCAUGGACACCUCUCAUAGCAGUUCUGUGAGAUGAGCCGGAGUAGAAAUGAUCUUCAAAUCUGACAUUGGGUGGGCUCAUAUGAAGAAACUUAUAUAACAUAGCACAAUACUGACGGAAGGUCCCUUCCAUCUUGUCUUGUCUCCUUUGGAUUGUGUGUGUAGAUCUAACCCAGAG